CAGGGGCCCCUCGGGGAUGAGCGCCGCGCGGGACGGGAGGGAGGGGGCGUGCCGAGCAGCCCAGAGUGUGCCGGGAGCGCGGGGGAGGGGAGGCGCCGGGCGCGUCAAUGUCACGGCUCAAUAUUUCGACCGAUACCGUUGUUCUUCUCCUCCGCCCUCCCCGACCGACUCCGGGCGCCUGGACGGACGGGGGACUUGGGGAGGGGGCCGUUGGGGAAGCGGGUGCGUAGGCGCUGCGGGUUCCCGGGGCGUGGGGCCGCAGAAUGGGGUUGGGGCUCCCCAGGACCCUGCAAGCCGACGCUAGGAAGGAGUACGCGAGUAGGGGUGGUCAGACAUCUGCUCGGAAAUUGCUUCCUUUCUUUCUACUUUCAGUUUUUCUGCCGAGACAUUGAAAAGGGACUCGCGCGCGCGCACACACACACACACACACACACACACACACACACAAAUGGUCUUCGGGGUCUGGCACUCUUAGUGGGAGACAGAACCCUGCCUCCGACUCGGAGGACCUCCCUGGUGCAAACUCCGGGAGGACACACCAUCUGAGUCAGCUGAUCAUUUCAUGGGAAUUCUUUCUUAGCCAGGUUGGAUGGAGUGUCUGUCUAUUCUUUGCAAGAGGAGCACCCCAGAAACGGAACACACCCCAAAUCAGCUUGGGCCUUGACAAAGCCUCCAUUGUGUCCUGAGAGGAAUGGAGAAAAGAGAGUGAUGCUCACAUGGAGACUUUUAUUAUCUUGUCCAGAUUUUGCCCUGAUUCCAUGGUACGGCAGGGUAGCCAAAAGGCCCCGCUUUGUUGAUUCAGCCAUACUUCCCAUCCCUCCACUUCUGAGAUGAACUAUGCUGGCCUCUCUUGUCAGGAGCACAAAAGAAUGGUGAAGGAAAGUUCUUGAAGCUGACUCAGGCUGACUCACAUAACUUAACACUAGGUAGGAAGGAGCCAUGAAGUCCAGAGAGCAAAGCUUGAACUUGCCUACUAAGCCAAAGCCACAAAUGAUUGAAGAUUCGGGCCAGGGUGGUGCUUGGAGCAGUGACCAUGGAUGAGAUACUCAACACCAUCGUCAGUCUGUUGGCUCCCGUGUUUCUGCACUUCCAAUGCUGCUUUCCAUUUUACCCCCAAAUUCUUCUGGGCUUAGUUGCCAUGACACAUACAUGACUUAUGCUACUCCUUGGUUGGAUAGUCUUUUGUCACGCAUUGUCAGCUUUCCCUCUUGGCCCUGCCCAACACAAAAAUAUCUUCUAAGACUCAACAAUCAGUGGUGGAAUUGUUCGGCAA
RNAcentral lists this long non-coding RNA (1273 nucleotides) under Cricetulus griseus (Chinese hamster). RNAcentral's name for it is "lncRNA (ENSCGRG00015038020.1)". Lineage: Eukaryota; Metazoa; Chordata; Mammalia; Rodentia; Cricetidae. The record is from RNAcentral.